GAUAUGGCUCAGAUUGAACGCUGGCGGCAUGCUUUACACAUGCAAGUCGGACUGCAGCACAGAGAAGCUUGCUUCUUGGGUGGCGAGUGGCGAACGGGUGAGUAACAUAUCGGAACGUACCGAGUAAGUGGGGAUAACUAAUCGAAAGAUUAGCUAAUACCGCAUAUUCUCUGAGGAGGAAAGCGAGGGGUACCUUCGGGUCCGUUGUCGUUAUUCGAGCGGCCGAUAUCUGUAUUAG
RNAcentral lists this ribosomal RNA (238 nucleotides) under uncultured bacterium. RNAcentral's name for it is "partial 16S ribosomal RNA". It matches the Rfam family "Bacterial small subunit ribosomal RNA", at positions 15 to 244 of the family's 1533-position model. The record is from RNAcentral.